AAUGUCCACGCUGGGUUCACCCAGACUCCAAAUCGGAUAGACGAAUAGUUCUGAUAAAAAGUACCUAUUGGUAUCUCAACCAAGUGCCACAGUAUGCAUGUAUCGUAUGGCCUUAGUGCCACCGGUGCCACAGUGUUUGCGCUGUGCUCUUUCAGAGACCGUACCGACUGGAAUUUAGCGACCGCUGACCGUUUUAAAGACUGUACGGGCGGCAGCGGGCGGUCUGAUCCUCGCCUCCGGCAAGAGGGGAGACCGCGCGUCCCCCUGUCGCAUUGUGCCGCUGCCGCUCGCGGGAUGCGGACGAGUCUGUUGAGUGUGUUGUGCCGUCUGCCGUCUCCUCUUCGGGCCAUGAACGCAGGAUGCAAGACUGGACAGGCGACGGGCGACUCAACCACUCAAGAUGUGUAGAAUGUGGAUGGCGGAGGAGCGGCGGCCGAGGACGUGUGAUGAUAAUAUCUGAAGCGUGGCUGACUCGAAAAAGUGUAGACUUAUCUUCAUGUAAAUAUGUUUUUCGGAAGUCCUCGGCUCAUAUUUCUUGGAGCCUCAGCUGCAACCUGCGAAUGCCUAGAGCUCCAUAUAUGUAUACCCGGUCGCCUGUGGUUGGCGGCUGCUCCAUUCCUGGCAAUGAAAAAUGGCUAAAUGUGCUUGUUUUAA
Long non-coding RNA from Amphibalanus amphitrite, 654 nucleotides. RefSeq lists it as uncharacterized. The record is from RefSeq and is a predicted model, not a curated record. Lineage: Eukaryota; Metazoa; Arthropoda; Thecostraca; Balanomorpha; Balanidae. The transcript has 2 exons.